UGCUGUGUAAGGUGGAUGCUGGCCAU
RNAcentral lists this non-coding RNA (26 nucleotides) under Homo sapiens (human). The record is from RNAcentral. Lineage: Eukaryota; Metazoa; Chordata; Mammalia; Primates; Hominidae.